This 407-nucleotide ribosomal RNA is filed under the name Acanthamoeba sp. CHI4703. RNAcentral describes it as "SSU rRNA". It matches the Rfam family "Eukaryotic small subunit ribosomal RNA", at positions 785 to 1095 of the family's 1831-position model. The record is from RNAcentral. Lineage: Eukaryota; Discosea; Longamoebia; Acanthamoebidae.
UUUUCUGCCACCGAAUACAUUAGCAUGGGAUAAUGGAAUAGGACCCUGUCCUCCUAUUUUCAGUUGGUUUUGGCAGCGCGAGGACUAGGGUAAUGAUUAAUAGGGAUAGUUGGGGGCAUUAAUAUUUAAUUGUCAGAGGUGAAAUUCUUGGCUUUAUGAAAGAUUAACUUCUGCGAAAGCAUCUGCCAAGGAUGUUUUCAUUAAUCAAGAACGAAAGUUAGGGGAUCGAAGACGAUCAGAUACCGUCGUAGUCUUAACCAUAAACGAUGCCGACCAGCGAUUAGGAGACGUUGAAUACCAAACACCACCAUCGGUGCGGUCGUCCUUGGCGUCGGUCUUUCGGGGCCGGCGCGGGGGCGGCUUAGCCCGGUGGCACCGGUGAAUGACUCCCCUAGCAGCUUGUGAGA